Molecule: ribosomal RNA, 677 nt
Filed under: uncultured sponge symbiont JAWS10
Lineage: Bacteria
Description: bacterial SSU rRNA
Rfam family: Bacterial small subunit ribosomal RNA
Source: RNAcentral
AACGCUGGCGGCACGCCUAACACAUGCAAGUCGAGCCGAGAAAGUGACUUCGGUCGCGAGUAAAGCGGCGAACGGGUGAGUACAACGUGGAUAAUCUACCCUAGGGUCUGGGACAACCCCGAGAAAUCGGGACUAAUACCGGAUAAGACCACAGUAUCCAAGGAUACAGCGGUAAAAGAUUUAUCGCCUUUGGAUGAGUCCACGUCCCAUCAGGUAGUUGGUAAGGUAAAAGCUUACCAAGCCUAAGACGGGUAGCCGGCCUUAGCGGGUGAACGGCCACAUGGGGACUGAGACACGGCCCUGACUCCUACGGGAGGCAGCAGUGGGGAAUAUUGGGCAAUGGGCGAAAGCCUGACCCAGCGAUGCCGCGUGAGGGAUGAAGGCCUUCGGGUUGUAAACCUCUGUCAGGAGGGACGAUGGGACACUUGUGUCUUGACGGUACCUCCAGAGGAAGCCCCGGCUAACUCCGUGCCAGCAGCCGCGGUAAUACGGAGGGGGCAAGCGUUGCUCGGAAUUACUGGGCGUAAAGGGUCCGCAGGCUGUCGGGUAAGUUGGAUGUGAAAGCUCAAGGCUUAACCUUGGAAUUGCAUCCAAAACUGCCUGACUAGAGUCCAAGAGAGGUUGGCGGAAUUCCCGGUGUAGCGGUGAAAUGCAUAGAUAUCGGGAGGAACACCAGA